AGCGAACUCGGGGAACUGAAACAUCUCAGUACCCGAUGGAAGAGAAAGAAAUCUCGAUGCCCUUAGUAGCGGCGAGCGAAACGGGCUCAGCCCAAACCAUACAGAUGUAAGAUUGCAGUCGUUGUCUGUGUGGGGUUGUGGGUUGUUACGGGGAAGUCUGCAUACUUCCCAAAUCUCUCGAAGAAGGAAAUAAAACCUUCUGGAAAGUUGGACCAUAGAGCGUAAAAGUCGCGUAUAUGCAACUCCUUCGAGCAUUGUUAACACACCCGAGUACUCCGGGACACGUGGAACCCUGGAGGAAUCUGCGAGGACCAUCUCGCAAGGCUAAAUACUACCUGCCGACCGAUAGUGAACCAGUACCGUGAGGGAAAGGUGAAAAGUACUCCUAACAGGAGAGUGAAACAGUACCUG
This 411-nucleotide ribosomal RNA is filed under the name uncultured bacterium. RNAcentral's name for it is "bacterial LSU rRNA". It matches the Rfam family "Bacterial large subunit ribosomal RNA", at positions 178 to 552 of the family's 2925-position model. The record is from RNAcentral.